This is a long non-coding RNA of Coffea eugenioides, 1358 nucleotides long. RefSeq lists it as uncharacterized. NCBI's taxonomy places the organism in Eukaryota, Viridiplantae, Streptophyta, Magnoliopsida, Gentianales, Rubiaceae. The record is from RefSeq and is a predicted model, not a curated record. The transcript has 6 exons.
GGAUGAAAAUGGACAGCGGCAACAUGUGUGGCAGACAUCAUGGGCUAUUAGUACGCGAUUUGUUGGAGGUAUUAUCAUGACUCAUGGGGAUGAUACUGGCUUAAUGCUUCCACCUAAGCUGGCACCUGUACAGGUGUGGGCACUGUAAGAAGCCUGCUCCAGAGUACGAGAAGCUAAGUGCGAGUUUCAAGAAAGCUAAAUCUAUUUUGAUUGGAAAGGUGGACUGCAAUGAGCAUAAGAGCCUUUGUAGCAAAUAUGGUGUUUCUGGUUGCCCGACCGUCCAAUGGCUUCCAAAAGGUUCUUUGGAGCCCAAAAAAUAUGAAGGUGCACGAUCUGCAGAAGCCUUGCUAAGUUUGUGAACAGUGGAGAAGGUAAUGUUAUUGGCUAGCUGGCUUGUAUUUUGUGGUCCAUAAGUGUAAUCCAUGUUAACAAGUUUGGUAGAUUUACAUUAAACCAUAUUUGGGUAAAAGUGUUGAAUAAUCCACGAGGUUGUUAAAAUCCAAUCCAUACCACUAUUUCUUUAAUUCUUUCUUCUAUUUCGAUUUUUCCCUUACCAAAAGGUCUAUCUACAAUGGAUUAUUUCCGGUUAUGAUAGCACUGAAGGCUACGAUUAAGAGACAGGUUAGUUUUUGAUUUGCUUCUUAUGUGGUUUUAAUUCUUUUUUCUGUUACUAACCCUGAAUUGCUACCAGUGAUGACAAAGAAACUGUUCAGCGUAAUUUUAACGGUGGCCAAAGUAGCCAGCUUAAGAAGUUGUAUGAAUUCAGCCUUAUUCUUUUAACUCCGAUUAAAUAUCAGCACCUUGGCCAUGUGAUUUUCUUGUUUUAUUCUUUAUUGUUUGUUUCACGGGAUAGGUACCCCUCGAUUACCUUGAAGCUGGUGCUAAUAUCGUAAUAUCUGCAUCAUAUCAGCUUGGGAUUGCUAUGGUUGAACGGGCACUUAGGCACUCUUUUUGCAAUACCGACUAGAAUGCUUUAAGAUUGUAAGGUUGUGGUCUUCAGCUCAUUUUCUUUCUCUAUGCCUGAAGUUACAGCAAAAGUAGAGAGUUGAACAGUGUGAAAAUUCUACAGAACCUGCCUACUUUGCAACGGUUGCUAUAUGGUCUUAUUGGAUGUUGGGAAAUUUUCCUGCUAAUAAUUAGUCUACUUUUGAUCUUAUUAGUCAGUUAUUCUCUGUCCGUUUUCAUAGCUGCUCUUUUAAAGACUUCGGAAUGUCUAAGAGCCAUAGGCAAUUAACACUAAGAAACUUGUUAGAAUUCUUAGUUUUAUGGGGCAGCUAUUCACAAUUAUGUAAUUCAAUUUUUGGUACAUUUUGUCUUGGCACUUUUGCUUCUGUUUACGAGUUCAUAAUAUUUUUUUA